RNAcentral lists this ribosomal RNA (422 nucleotides) under uncultured bacterium. Its description in RNAcentral is "bacterial SSU rRNA". It matches the Rfam family "Bacterial small subunit ribosomal RNA", at positions 355 to 774 of the family's 1533-position model. The record is from RNAcentral.
UGAGGAAUAUUGGUCAAUGGGGGCAACCCUGAACCAGCCAAGUCGCGUGAAGGAUGAAGGUCUUAUGGAUUGUAAACUUCUUUUAUACAGGAAUAAAUUGGGGGACGUGUCCCCUUUUGCAUGUACUGUAUGAAUAAGGAUCGGCUAACUCCGUGCCAGCAGCCGCGGUAAUACGGAGGAUCCGAGCGUUAUCCGGAUUUAUUGGGUUUAAAGGGUGCGCAGGCGGGAUGUUAAGUCGGCGGUGAAAUUUUGCAGCUCAACUGUAAAAGUGCCUUCGAUACUGGCUUCCUUGAGUGUGGAUGAANUAGGCGGAAUUUGUGGUGUAGCGGUGAAAUGCUUAGAUAUCACGAGGAACUCCGAUUGCGCAGGCAGCUUACUAAGCCACAACUGACGCUCAUGCACGAAGGCGUGGGGAUCAAACA